AUUGAACGCUGGCGGCAUGCUUUACACAUGCAAGUCGAACGGUAACAGGCCGCAAGGUGCUGACGAGUGGCGAACGGGUGCGUAAUGCAUCGGAACGUGCCCAGUCGUGGGGGAUAACUACUCGAAAGAGUAGCUAAUACCGCAUACGAUCUAUGGAUGAAAGCGGGGGACCGUAAGGCCUCGCGCGAUUGGAGCGGCCGAUGUCAGAUUAGGUAGUUGGUGGGGUAAAGGCUCACCAAGCCAACGAUCUGUAGCUGGUCUGAGAGGACGACCAGCCACACUGGGACUGAGACACGGCACAGACUCCUACGGGAGGCAGCAGUGGGGAAUUUUGGACAAUGGGCGCAAGCCUGAUCCAGCAAUGCCGCGUGCAGGAAGAAGGCCUUCGGGUUGUAAACUGCUUUUGUACGGAACGAAACGGCUCUGGUUAAUACCCGGGGCUAAUGACGGUACCGUAAGAAUAAGCACCGGCUAACUACGUG
Molecule: ribosomal RNA, 482 nt
Filed under: uncultured bacterium
Lineage: Bacteria
Description: partial 16S ribosomal RNA
Rfam family: Bacterial small subunit ribosomal RNA
Source: RNAcentral